RNAcentral lists this long non-coding RNA (1798 nucleotides) under Brassica napus (rape). RNAcentral's name for it is "long non-coding RNA (BNAP_LNC007705)". The record is from RNAcentral. Lineage: Eukaryota; Viridiplantae; Streptophyta; Magnoliopsida; Brassicales; Brassicaceae.
UUGCAUCCUGAUGUUUCCAAUAUUCCAUAAGAGAUUAAGUUUCUACUCAUACCAGGCAUAUAUCGUACGCCUGUUAGAACCACAGUAGACCCAUUGGGAUUUAGAAUUUUAAUCUUUCCAACUCCUUGAAUGUUGCUAUGCGUGUUAUUUGCCAUUAACACUUUUCCACCUUUGAAUUCUUCCAGGUCAAACAAGAAGCUCUUGUCUGGUGUAAUGUGGAACGAGCAGCCAGAGUCCAUCACCCAUUCGUCCUUGGAGUAUUGGGUGCUCACGGUGAGGAUUAGAGGUUCCUUGGACUCUGCCACAACAUUUGUUGAGUCUGGCGUUUUGUAAGGUUUCUUAUCAGGGCAGUCACGCUUCCAGUGGCCCUCCUUCCCGCAUACAAAACAUCCCUUUGAGCCUUUGGUGUUCCUAGGACGCGACUUGGAACGUCCCUGUCUGCUCUUGGAUCUUCCCCUGUAGGAUUUUCCAUUUCUUUUGCCAGAGCGUUGGUCUGAUCUUCCUCUGUCUGUCACCAUCAGACCUUCUCCACCAGACCUGGUAAACUUACCACUCUCAAUCAACUCUCUUUCUUUCGACCUUGCAGCCCCUGUAACCUCAGCUAGGCUUAGGGUGUCUCUUCCAUACUUGAGAGUCUCUUUGAGUUGAUCAUACUUGUUUGGUAGAGAACUUAGCAAUAGGAUAGCUUGAACUUCCUCGGAUACUUCAACUUGCAAAUUGUUUAAAUCUGCAACUAGCUUCAAGAAUUCAUCCACAUUCUCAUCAAUGGAUUUUGAGUCGGCCAUCUUAAAAGUGUAGAACCUAAGCUGUAGAUAAAUCCUGUUUGGUAGAGAUGUCUCUGUGUACAACUUGUUUAGUGUACUCCACAUUGCAGCAGCAGUUUCACAAUGUUGAAUUUUCCUUAAGACUUUGUUCCCUACAUUCAGCACAAUUAGGUCCUUAGCUUUCUCUGAUUUUUCAAACUUUGCAGGAUCAAUUUCAGGUGUGGGCGCAACAAGCCCAGCUAGCCCCUUCCUAGUGUCCUUUAUGGCAGACUCGGGUUCAUCCUUAGGAUUCACGUCAUCCUUCAAAAGCUUCUCAUCGGUGAGAAUAGCUUUCAGUCCAAGCACUCCAAAGUGAGCAAGCAUUCUCACUUUCCAUAGGGCGAAGUCACCAUCUCCUUCGAAACGGUCGAUCUCGAUGCGUUCCUUUGACUUCACCAUUGAGAAGGUACUGAGUAUGCACCUCUUCUGUCUCUCUCUCUAUCCUAAGCAACCUUGAUGAAAACCGGAAGCUCUGAUACCACUUGUAGAAUGUAAUUAGCUCAUGUUAACUUAGGUUAGAGGUUAUAUAGAUCUAGGUCUAGUACUGAAAGUAAAGACACAAGCGAUUUAACGACUUCCCGGCCCUCGGCGCGGUACGUGUCGUGGGAGACUUCUGCUCCCAAAAUCUACUAGAUUAAAGAGUCUCUAGCACCACUAAAUCAGUGUGCUAGAUAGGUAGGUUACAAUAAGAUCCCUUCAACUUAGCUAGGGAAUACAACAACCUUAAUAUGAGACAAUAGCCUUAAGUCUAAGCUAGUUGUCCUUGUUGAAGUCUCUUUUCCCUUGAUGCUGUAUCUUGUUGACUGAUCUCUGAUGCUAUAACCUGCUGUUAUUGCUUCUAUCCGGUAACCCUAAUCACCCAUACUAACAUUGUAUAUAUAUGUGUCGUAUGUGAUCAGGUAGUGCAACCUGGAAUGGGCCUGCGCAUGACUUCGGCCCAUCAGAUGUGAUGCUGCUGCUGGCCCAUCACGCAGGGAUAAACCCAAGCUUUCACA